RNAcentral lists this ribosomal RNA (782 nucleotides) under Trichodorus sp. AMS-2014. Its description in RNAcentral is "eukaryotic LSU rRNA". It matches the Rfam family "Eukaryotic large subunit ribosomal RNA", at positions 360 to 964 of the family's 3401-position model. The record is from RNAcentral. Lineage: Eukaryota; Metazoa; Nematoda; Enoplea; Triplonchida; Trichodoridae.
AAAGCUGAAAAGAACUUAGAGGUGAGAGUUCAACAGGGCGUAAAACCGCAUAGAAGUAAACGGUUGGUGCUGACAUUGUUUCUGCUGGAUUCAGCCGGUCUGAUGGUUGACCCUCUGCAUGCCGAUCGCAAGACGGUGUGUGGAGUGGGAUCGAUCUAGGGCUGGUGCAUUUCCAGUAGAAUGCAUCAUGACCGUUGGCGUUGCUGGCAUAAGGCCGGUUGGUUGCCGUCUGUAGGUUUUCGGACUUGCAGUGCCCCACCUUCCGAACCCUGUCCGAGUUGACGUCAGCGGAUAACUGGACGUGCCCGACAUGUCUCAUCUUGUGCUUUACGUUGGCUGAAUGACCCGUUCGGUCGUGCUUGCACGGCUGAGCAACCCCCAGUCUUCGUAGGGUGCCUGCUUGAGGCGGCACUGAAGGUCUAUGGUGUCCGCGUCAGUCUCCCAACCGACCCGUCUUGAAACACGGACCAAGGAGUCUAACAUGUGCGCAAGUCAUGGGGUUGAAAACCCAAAGGCGUAAUGAAAGUAAAGGCCGCAAGGCUGAGGUGUGAUGGUUGGUUUCUACCGACUCGCAACACCGCCCCAUCGCAUCGGCUUGUCCGGGCGGUGGAGGAAGAGCGUACACGUUGGGACCCGAAAGAUGGUGAACUAUGCCUGAGCAGGAUGAAGCCAGAGGAAACUCUGGUGGAGGUCCGUAGCGGUUCUGACGUGCAAAUCGAUCGUCAGACUUGGGUAUAGGGGCGAAAGACUAAUCGAACCAUCUAGUAGCUGGUUCCUUCCGA